UUUCAUUAGGUUCGGCAUGCUUCACUUCGUUGUCGUGUCACUGAAAAGAAUUAACGGCUGUCAGAGCUGUCAGUUUGCUGCCCAUUCUGUUGGAGCCGCUAAACGCUGAGGCGCUGUUACCCUUCCUUUCCGAGCGGGAAGCCCCAGUCGCGCCGUGUGCGCAGCGAGCGGGGGCACAAUUUACAUCCAAUCAUGGGCUUCCUCCACAAAUCACACGUGUAUUUGCAGCACGCAACCGGGAGUAAUGAAGAUAUACAUCGACAGGUCGUCCGUGCUCAUGGUCAGUGCGUCGUAGAGCGAUCGAUCGUACAAUCGAAACAGAUCGUUCAUCGUUAGUCGCCGAUAAAAAGAAACUAAAGCUAAUAUUCCCAUCGGUUCGCCGCUAACAGGCGCCAAUGAACAUUCGCCGGAGAAGCGGGGGAGCGAUCUCGCGAUCGUGGAAGAACAGAUCGUGUCCAACGAUCAGCGGGCACGUCGGCGAAGCACGAACCAGUGUCUUCUAGCCUGCGGUGUGUUUGAGGCCGGUGUUUUUAAUCGGUUUUUCGAUUUCACUUAACUAAGAAUGAUCGCGGCGGCGAUUAAGCGCUGUCCGUGCGCGCCGAUCCAACAAACGAGCGAGAGUCAUAAAUUAUGCGAAUGAAGUUACAAAAGAGUAACAACCAUAGAUUAUCUUAACCGGCCAACGCUCAUCGUCAUCGACCGUAUCUUGAAGGUUUCCCCAUAAUAAACCACAUCCAUAGCACCAACCAACCUUCUCGUUCAAAACCGACGACUUCGGUUCCUUCACUUAGUGGCGGUAAACGCGAUCGCUGAACGCUCCAUUCAUUCCAUCGUUGGCAUCGGCAUCAUCAUGCCCGCCCCGUCGGGCAGAGUACCUUUUUAAUUUCCUACAGCGCAGCAGCAUCAGCAGCCGAUCACAGCGGACACGAAUGAACAGAAGGAAUCCCAUCAACAACGGAGAGGUAAAAAAUCGUCAGCAGCAGUACAACUAAUAAGAACUCUCACCUCGCCCUUGCCGGAUGCCGUGUGGUUUCAACCGACGGGACAGAGUGAGAAAUAAAAGAAAAACAACGUAGUGGAAUAAAAAAAAAACUGUCGAUAAAAUUUACGAUACACCAUAAAAUACAAAUAUUUCACGUAAUUUGAUAUUUCUCCAAGUUCAUCUAUAAACGUAAUGAGGCAAUUAAUUAUUCCUGUUUUAUUGGGGAAUAUAUUUUAUUUUGUCAUAAAUAAAGACACGCUGCUGAGCUAAACGAGCCACAGCGAGCAUUCAUUUUCUGAUGUUGCUGCUGCUGUUGCGGUGGUUGCUGCUGUUGCUGCUGCUGCUGCUGUUGCUCCUGCUCUUGCUAGUGGAAGUUUGUACGUGUGUUCCUUGGUGUUGCUUUUGUACGUGUGAUGUGUUAGUAAGAAACGGUGCACAGCCAGACGGAGCAGGAUAGCCGUACGAAACACAGUGCACGUGAGUAGGAGAGUGCUUCGUGAAAAAAAAACUUGAUCUUCAACCAGCUACAAUCGACCCAGUGGGAGUUAUGUUUAUAUAGUUAACAGUGAGAAGCAAAGCGAAGCGAUGGAAGGCACAAAAAACACGUAAAUGAGCGACGAUGAAACGAUUGGAAUGGCCCCAACCGGGGCCAAGACGAUAAACUUAAGCAGCAGAAAAGGAGCGACCAUUUCGACGGAAAUUGCUGUUUCCAGCUAAUAAAACCCACCGCAAACUCGGGUCUGAUGAAAACGAAACGGCAUCUCCUGCUCGUAGCAAACUGCGGUGCUAAGAGCGGUAUGGUAGCUGCUGCUGCUAUGAACGGGUUGCGUUCGUGGGUGCGACAUCGUGCGUGCUGUGCGGAACUACACAAUCGUACAAAUAUUGACACUAUUCGCACCGAGGGUGUUCUUGACAAUUCAUUCAACAAACGUACCAUGGUUUGUGAGAGCGGUUACAAUUGUAAGCGAAAGGAUUUAUCACUUGUUAACUAAAUCGGCUUUGUUGUACAAAUCGGGUCCAAAAAUGCCCGUAACAGCAAAUUUUCCCUUCUUAUCGUG
This is a long non-coding RNA of Anopheles gambiae (African malaria mosquito), 2040 nucleotides long. RefSeq lists it as uncharacterized. The transcript is spliced from 2 exons. NCBI's taxonomy places the organism in Eukaryota, Metazoa, Arthropoda, Insecta, Diptera, Culicidae. The record is from RefSeq and is a predicted model, not a curated record.